AAUGCACAGGUAACAACAGCUGUAUACUUAAUUUCUUCUUUCUGUCGUUUCAUAAGACCCAGUGUGCAUUGCCCAACUUACAACAACUAAAGAGGAUUGAUCUACAUUCCAGAAGAGUUAGCAGCUCCUGAACCAGGCUGCUUGGACAGGCGAUACUGUCACUAAUGGGCACCAUCAGAAAGAAGUACAGUGUGCACUGGGGUGCCACCGGAGGUGACAGGGAGACCCUGUGGUUCGGGUGCCACUUCUGCCUCCCAGGCUGAUCCUGCCAGAGGAGCCGGCAAGGGGAGGAACCACGCGCUCUGCUCCUGCGGCAUGAAGUACACGGGGUUACUGACGGUCAUUGCUCCUUCAUCUACAUAUCCAGUUACAAAUUCCCCGUUGCCUUUUUGUUCCACACGAAAAAGUAAAUCAACCGCCUCAGCUGAGGCAAGGCGGAGGUUACUCUGGGGCAAAAGUGUCUCCCUCGCCUUCCUCUCUCCCACGCAGCAGGACCACUCGUGAAUAUGCUGGUUUUGAGCAUGCUGUGCAAACACCCCACUUGAACCCCGCUAGCAAAAUCCACCAUCACCUCCACUCCCUGCCUGGGAAAAGACUGGGAAAAGAUCUGGCUCCUGCAAUAACAUAAAACCGUCCUUCUCUUUCCAGCAGAGGAUAAAGCACCCAGCUUCACCGCAAGCAGAGGAAAAACUUCCCCCACCCCAAUUCCUUGGUUACUUCCUACGUGUGCCAAAAUCUCUAAACACUUCUGCAGCUUGUUUAUUUUUUGGUGAGAUCAUCAACUGUUCAGAAAGUCAGAUGGACAAAGGAGGGGCUGACUAAAGGCAUACUGGCAUGCAGAGAUCAGAUGUUUGCAAGCUUUUUCAUUGAAUUUGUCCCUACUUAAGACAUUUUUCAAGCUUCUCUUAAAGGGCCACAUGCCUUAUGGGGGAAAAAAAAAAAAGUAGCCAAGGAAUAAUUCUUCCACUUUUCUGUUCCCUCAGUGAUGUGUUGUUUUUUGGUUUGCCUAGUCUGUUUUAUCUGGGUUUGGCUUGGAGGUUUUUUGCGACAUGAAGGCAUGAUUUUCUUGGUUGGGGACAUAUUCUAUAGGCAAUUGCAGGAAUACAAUCUGAACUACACUGAGAUUCCUGCUGACCUGCCUGCAAUCAUGAGGGGGAGUAACAAAGAGUCACCAUCUUUCACAGCUGUAAUUAACCAGCCCGGCAUUAGCAGAGCAUUCAUCCCCUGCCUUUUUUGUCAUGCCAAGCAUUUUCAGACUCACUUAGCACUAUAAUUUGCUGAAAAUCAAUGCUGCCUUCCAAGGAACUCCUACAAACACCUGAACGAGUUUUCAUCAUCAUUUGGAGUAAACCAUGAAGGAAACAGAACAAGGUUACCAGAACUGCGAGGCGGUGUUUGGCUUCCAGACAGCUGAUCAUGAAGCCAUGAUCAUUAUCCAAGACCACACGUGAAAGCUCUGUGAGACCAAGGGACCAAAUCCCAACACCACAGUCCUGGCUGCAGUGCCCUAAGCACACAGCCAGCCUUUUGUACCAUGCAUUUUCUCCCCCACCCCAUCUGGUCUUACUUCCAGGACUUGUGGGUCAGUGUCUUAUGCAACCCCUCUCAGUUUUGGAGGCAUGAAUAACAACUUGCACAUGAAACAACAGAAAGCACCGAAUACUGCAAUACAUCUAAAUUCUCCCUCUGGAUACCUUAAAAAGUCAAGGUUUAACAGAGGUUUCCUCUUGAAAACAGCCACUCCCAUCCAAGAUGACUGCUUGCCCACUAGGGCCUAAGGAAACAAGAGAGCAUUGCUUAGAAAAAACCCCUCCAAAAUAGAAAGCAAAAGAAACAGUUAAGUCUUCUGAAGGCUAAUACCAAGGUUAGUUAACAAUGCAAACACCUGGAGUGGAUGGAAGAGCACAUUUUACCACCAUGGGCAUUUGUAUGUCUCCUCUCUUGCUUGAGAGUGGCCAAGAGCAUUAUUGCAGUCAGCCACUGCAAGCUGUGGGCACAGAACAAUGCGCUGGAGAUCAAUCUCUCCACAUACUUUGACAUGGACAUGCAGCCUUUCCUUGCCCCUCACCUUUAUCUUCAAAAGAAAACCAAGGGAGCUGCAGCCCUGCAGGCUCCCUCACCCCCGGCACAGGGUUUGCCCUCCUGAUUGAAACCAUAAGCCCCAGCAAGCAAGCUAAGCCCUAGGCAUAAAUAGGGAGAUAAACUUGAGGUCAGACUGAGCAAACACACUCAGAAGACUGUCAAAACUGAUGUGAACCAUCUUGCUGAUUCAGUGGUGGCAUAGUCAGCAGAAAUAAUACUGAGACAGCUUUUCCCCAUGGCAGACUACUUUUGCAGUUUCAGUCCUGACAUCAAGGGAGCAAUAGCAGAGAACAGAGACUUUUGCUUCUAAACCAUGCAAAUAACCCCACAAAGCAACAACAGGUCUGGCAGGGCUGAAAUACCUUUGUUGUAAUUAGCUCCAGUUUGGACACAGUAUGGCAGUGCAACAGAAGACCAUCCCCACACACAUGAAACAAGCAGAAGAGAUGUCCAUUUCCCAUAUGGGACAGAGAGAAAAAUCCUUCAUAUGGUCACACAAGGAAGCUUCCAGCACAACUGAGAACUCUUAGGCCUGGAGGUCUUGUGCCUUAACCACAAAAUGUCCUUUCCUCUCUGAAGUCACCAGUCAGGAUUAGACAAUCACACAUGGCAGUAUAUCACGAAUACUGUUUUCACAAAAGGCACAGCUGUCCUUCAUUUCCACACAGUUCAAACAAACCUUGGGGGCUGCCUUCUGGGCAUCAAAAACAGAAACUCUCGGAUUUCCAAACUGCAGAGCAUCUCCUACUGUAACACUUUAUUACAUCCUAAGAUUUACAUUUUACUGACAACCUAACUUUUUCCAGAACCUUUGUGCCCGGGCACAGUGGUAGGCCAGUCAGUGCUUGUUUAAGAAUCAAACUUUUGUGACCAAAAAACAAAACCCAAAACCAAACCCAAAGUCCAAAAUGUAUUCCAAGAGCUCAAGACAAUCACAUGAAUUAGUGAAGAACAACAAUCUCUAUGCUUGCUAUAUUACUGAUUAAAAUGAACAUCAAAAUAAAAAUAUGCAUUAUAAAAAAAUAGCAAA
Haemorhous mexicanus (house finch) is the source of this 3112-nucleotide long non-coding RNA. RefSeq lists it as uncharacterized. The record is from RefSeq and is a predicted model, not a curated record. Lineage: Eukaryota; Metazoa; Chordata; Aves; Passeriformes; Fringillidae. The transcript is spliced from 2 exons.